AUGGGAGAUGAGCAUCCAGUUAACAACACUAGCAGCACCCGUUGUACUUCCUUCAACGUACCCGAUGACUAUCGAUGUGAUGUGAUUCUUAACGUGAAAAGAGCCACAGGGACAUUUUCACUAGUGGCAUGCCUUUUCAUGCUGUUUGCAAUAUGGCUGCUCCGCCGAUAUAACUCUUUGGCUCAGAAAAUGAUAUUCAGUCUGACAAUAGCUGCAGCCUUUGACAGUGUUGCUUAUGUUAUGGGAGAGUCUCAUCUGGAGGGGUCUCUGUGUAAUUUUCAAGCCUGGUGGCUCACAUAUUUUGACUGGACCGCACUGAUGUGGGUUUGUCUUAUUACAUUUAAUCUGUACCUGAACCUGGUGAGAGAAAUCAGAACUGAACAUUAUGAAAUACCGUAUCAUUUGGUGGCAUGGGGGGUUCCUCUGCUCAUGUCCACCCUCCCCCUGAUGGCUGGAUACUACGGCCCCUCUGGAGCCUGGUGUUGGAUCACAGAUAAGCAUGUCGGGUGGAGGUUUGGCAUAUGGUACAUUCCUCUGUUUAGCCUGAUUAUCCUCAUGACCUGCUGCUAUGCUCGAAUCAUCUGUGUGGCCAACGAGAGGAUGCGUUCCUGGUUGGGCACCUUUAACCCAGAAAGAGAGAGGAGGAAGAUCUCUCUAGCUGAAGAGAUCAGACCGUUGAAGUGGUAUCCCUCUGUCUAUCUGCUCGUCUCUAUCUUCCCCCUCAUAAAUCGACUUCAUAAUGCUGCUUACCCUGAGGACCCUGUGUUUUCUCUGAUGUUAUUGCACGUGCUCAGUGCACCCUUGCAUGGGCUUGCAAAUGCUCUUGUCUUCGGUAAGGACACCUGGAGUCAGCUGAGUACAACAGGAAUAAAGAUGGCUAUCCAGUCUCGGCUGUGUGACAGCACAAUGAUCGGAGAGUACCAUGCUGCAAAUGUAAGAUACACACAUGACCUCAAUACACACUCCGAUUCCGACGAUGAGGACAACAACAUCCUAUUUUACAGCCCGGACAUGAUCUUAAAAGAUAGGGGACCCUGGGAGAAUGUUUAG
This is a long non-coding RNA of Cyprinus carpio (common carp), 1050 nucleotides long. Lineage: Eukaryota; Metazoa; Chordata; Actinopteri; Cypriniformes; Cyprinidae. The record is from Ensembl.